UGAGCAGAUGGAGGCGUGGCAUGUGUUUCAGUCACGCUUCAGCUUAAUCAAUGAAAGCAGCAGCUGGCAGUGGAGAGUAGCGAAGGGCGAGUGCAUCGCAAGAGAGGGUCAGGAGAGAGCGUAAGGGCUUUGGAAUGCGGAUUAUUGAUUUCUUGUUUGUUAAUAGAAAAUGCGCGCGCAGCGCUUUGAUUUGUUGAAAGAGCCUGAGAGAGAGAGAGAUGAGAGCAAGGCUGAAACUGGCGGCAUGUUGUCGGCGGUCAGGAUGGCGACGACGGCAAUUGAGAGAAWAUACGAACUGCACUAGCAGCAGCAGCAGCAGCGAUUCAGUGCGAAAAGUGUGCAAAGCGAAGCGAGGCGAGGUUCCCAAAAGGCAGCAGCAGAAAUUAAUAAAAGAAAAAAAAGCCAAAGCAAUGCCACAGCUGCUACAACUAAAAUCGAAUAUUAGCAAAAAGCAUAAACUAUCUGUUUAAUAGUUAAUUACUAAUAAUUAAGUUGUUAAUCUAGCUACGAGUUACAGUAAAAAAAAAAAAAAGAGAAACGAAAGUUUUUCGCACAAAACUUUGAUGUCACUAAAAAUCGAUAAUAGAUUCAAAUUGUGUAAAAUUUAAGCGAGCUGCAGGAAAAAAGAUUAGUAAAGACAUAAAAAACAAGCGCAUUACACACGAGCUUUAAAUCUGGUUAUAUAACGGACACACACACAGCGAAGGCGAAUCGAUAGGACAGGCCAAGAUGAAGCGCAACUAAUUGGCCAAGCACGCGAGGCAUUAGCAUAAGCGAGAGUAAAAGAGAGCGAACGAGCGGCCGAGCGAGAGGGAUAGAUAGUGUGACAACAUUCUGGCCGAGAUUAACGUAGAGUAAAGCGCAGCUACAGUCAUGGGCAAAAAGAAAGUGCCCAGCGAGGAUCUAAUUGUGCCGCCACAGGACAAUCGCAUCUGUGGCACAAUUUGUAUAUGCCAAAUGACGCUCGUCCUCAGCUCCGUGGCGUUGGUCUAUCUGACCGUAGCCAUCUAUAUGCCGUCGACGCGUGCCUUCAAGAGCGGCAUCGAUCCGACGCCCGUUAUGUGCACCACCACGCGAGCCGUCAACAAGGAGGGCUGCGAGUGGGGCAGCUGCGGCGAGUGGUGUCUGAGCAAAACCUCCGGCGCCUGCAUUCAGAUCUAUGUGAACCUGCGCAGCAACGGCACGAAUCUCACGUUCCAAAACUGCACGAACUCGGCGAACAAGACGUGCUACGGCAUCGAUCAGGAUCGCGCGGACAAGGCGCGCUGCAUCAACGACGAGUGCAAGAAUCUCACUGGCACCUUCAACUGCACCGCCGGGCAGUGCUUGAACAUAACGGACGCCUUUGAGUGUGUGUUCCACAACAGCGAUGCUCCGGUCAAGUGCUCCGGGCGACGUGGCAAGAUCAACUGCAUGGACAUCAGCGGCUUGUUCUCGUGCAGCCGCGGCACCUGCCGCAAGAUACGCACGCCCUACAACUGCGAUAGACGUUGCGUGGAUAUACCCACCCGGAACAAGAACGUGGUGGUGCUCAGCGGAGACAAGGUUUACCUAUCGCAGUGCCAGAAUGCCAUCAAUGCGGAGACCUUGGAGGAGGUGUGGAAUGAGUCGAGCGACAACGUGGCCAUGACAUCGUGCUACUUCAUCAAGAACACMUCGGAUCGAGUGGAUGCCGUAGACUGCAUCAACGGAUCGACGCUGGAGCACAAUAUGCUCAGUGACUUGACCAAUUUUACAUAUCUCAGUCAUUUGCAUGUGUCGGUGGCGACGCCGGUGCCGGAGAUAGCUCCGCCCGACGUCGACUUAACCAUAUCGAAUGAAUCGAAGCUGAUGAUCAAUUUGGAGGGAUGUGUCAACACGCUGAUGGAUGAGUGCAAGGAGUUCCUGAAGGUGUUCGGCCGGGAUGGCAGCGAUCACAAUGCCCGCGCACGCUUCCCCUGCUUCUAUUCGCCAUCGAAGAAGGAUAUUGUUGUGGCCCGGUUCGAUCUGGAGGUCACCUAUCGCCAGUUCGUGUUCGCGUCGGUGGUGCCGUCGGUGCUGUUCGUGGUAUCCUGCUCGGUGCUGCUGCUAUGCCAGCGCACCGUCUAUGUCGGCGACGAUGCCAAGAUGCGCUUCAAGGGCUGCGUCGACACGGACACCAUUCUGUCCAAGAACAACGUCGGCGCACCUACCAACGGCGACAUGGGUGGAGGCGGUGGCGAUGAAGUCAUGGCCCUAUGAGAUCCGUCACGUAAGCUUAACAUAAAGAGCCUCUUCCAACUAGGGUAAACACACACACUUAGGCCCACUGUGCUACGUCGGAAAAUUGCAUUGCUUAAUUGACAAACGAUGGGCAUUCCUCUGCUCCAGGAAGACAGUCCGGUUCAUCAGACUGGCGUCUUCGCACUGCAAUAAAUGGAGUUGGGCAUAGUAAACAAUCGAGUAACACUUUGUAAUCCUUCCAUCGAAAUACUAACAGACCACACACCUGAGCGCAGCUUGCUAAAGGACACUCCUGAGCUAACAGCAAACACAAAAACGAAACGAAAAACUAUAUAAAAACUCUAUACAUAUAGAGUGAUAUCUAUAUACACCACAUGCGAGGCACGUGAACAAUUCUCGAGUUACGAACACAAAGAACCGAAGAAGAGAGGACAAUAUUAGUAUAAUUUCUAUAUUUGAAUUCGAUUUUCUAUUUAGUUUUGGGAUAGGCUAGAGAGGCGCGCCAUCUACUGAGAGUAAUUAGCGUUGGGCAUGGCCUGGUUGAUUGAUUGAUGCUUUAACUUUAAGUUAAGUAAAGAAGAARAAAACUAACWACAACAUCUAUAGGGAAUACCUUCAAUGCACUCACAUACACAAGCACUGAAACACACACACUCACACAGAUACUCACACACACUCACAGAGGGAACUAGAAUCAGCCCUUAGAAGCAGGCAAACAAAAUUCAGCAAAUGGUCAAACGGUUUGGAGGGAUGCGUGAUCAAAACUAAGAAGAUUUAUGAAAUAACAAAAUGAAGAAGAAG
Molecule: RNA transcript, 3003 nt
Organism: Drosophila arizonae
Lineage: Eukaryota; Metazoa; Arthropoda; Insecta; Diptera; Drosophilidae
Gene: Teh3
Gene name: tipE homolog 3 phospholipid transfer protein
Source: RefSeq, a predicted model, not a curated record